UACGUAGGGUGCGAGCGUUGUCCGGAAUUAUUGGGCGUAAAGAGCUUGUAGGCGGUUUGUCGCGUCUGCUGUGAAAAUCCGGGGCUCAACCCCGGACUUGCAGUGGGUACGGGCAGGCUAGAGUGUGGUAGGGGAGACUGGAAUUCCUGGUGUAGCGGUGAAAUGCGCAGAUAUCAGGAGGAACACCGAUGGCGAAGGCAGGUCUCUGGGCCACUACUGACGCUGAGAAGCGAAAGCAUGGGGAGCGGACAGG
RNAcentral lists this ribosomal RNA (253 nucleotides) under uncultured bacterium. Its description in RNAcentral is "partial 16S ribosomal RNA". It matches the Rfam family "Bacterial small subunit ribosomal RNA", at positions 524 to 776 of the family's 1533-position model. The record is from RNAcentral.